Molecule: long non-coding RNA, 523 nt
Organism: Ornithodoros turicata
Lineage: Eukaryota; Metazoa; Arthropoda; Arachnida; Ixodida; Argasidae
Exons: 3
Source: RefSeq, a predicted model, not a curated record
GUGAGGUGGAACUUUACAGUCAAAGCAGUAGUCGUGAAGAUUAUCUCCAUUCUGCUGAUCCUGAGUAACACGAGUAAAUGCACUACAGAAGGAUGCGGAAGAGAUGAGAUGCUCGCCUUGAGAGCCUGGAAAAACUACUGGAGCAAUCAGCAGAAAGGCCGGAGAGAACAGCUGCACAAAGGGCUGAAAUGGCUCGCUAACGACAAGUCUUGCUCUUCCAAGCAGAACUUAUAGUUACUACAAAUUUAUAUGGCGUCAACACAAGACACACAGCAAUGUGCAAGUGCUGCUGCAACAUUGCCACGGUCACUUCUAUUCCCACUGUUCCCAUCAAACGCGCAGUUCACGCCACCUUCAUCAUGUGCUCCACAAGCAGAGCGGCAGCCAAGCGGAUUCCCAUGACUGGGUCAGGAUCUUCUGUGUUUUAGGAUUGUGUUACUAAAAUGAUUGUGAGGAUUGUGUUACUAAAAUGAUUGUGCUGGUGGGGCGACAUGGUCAUUGUUCUUACCCAGCCCAAUGUUUG